Molecule: ribosomal RNA, 253 nt
Filed under: uncultured bacterium
Lineage: Bacteria
Description: partial 16S ribosomal RNA
Rfam family: Bacterial small subunit ribosomal RNA
Source: RNAcentral
GACGUAGGGUGCGAGCGUUGUCCGGAUUUAUUGGGCGUAAAGAGCUCGUAGGCGGCUCGUCGCGUCGACCGUGAAAACCCGCGGCUUAACUGCGGGCUUGCGGUUGAUACGGGCGGGCUAGAGUUCGGUAGGGGAGACUGGAAUUCCUGGUGUAGCGGUGAAAUGCGCAGAUAUCAGGAGGAACACCGGUGGCGAAAGCGGCUCACUGGACCGUAACUGACGCUAAUGUGCGAAAGCUAGGGGAGCAAACGGG